This 465-nucleotide ribosomal RNA is filed under the name uncultured bacterium. RNAcentral's name for it is "partial 16S ribosomal RNA". It matches the Rfam family "Bacterial small subunit ribosomal RNA", at positions 28 to 507 of the family's 1533-position model. The record is from RNAcentral.
GACGAACGCUGGCGGCGUGCUUAACACAUGCAAGUCGAACGGAAAGGCCCUGCUUGCAGGGUACUCGAGUGGCGAACGGGUGAGUAACACGUGGGUGAUCUGCCCUGCACUUCGGGAUAAGCCUGGGAAACUGGGUCUAAUACCGGAUAGGAGCCAUUUUUAGUGUGAUGGUUGGAAAGUUUUUUCGGUGUAGGAUGAGCUCGCGGCCUAUCAGCUUGUUGGUGGGGUAAUGGCCUACCAAGGCGGCGACGGGUAGCCGGCCUGAGAGGGUGGACGGCCACAUUGGGACUGAGAUAAGGCCCAGACUCCUACGGGAGGCAGCAGUGGGGAAUAUUGCACAAUGGGCGCAAGCCUGAUGCAGCGACGCCGCGUGGGGGAGGACGGCCUUCGGGUUGUAAACGCCUUUCGCUAGGGACGAAGCUUUUUGUGACGGUACCUAGAUAAGAAGCACCGGCUAACUACGUG